This 465-nucleotide ribosomal RNA is filed under the name uncultured bacterium. RNAcentral describes it as "partial 16S ribosomal RNA". It matches the Rfam family "Bacterial small subunit ribosomal RNA", at positions 28 to 507 of the family's 1533-position model. The record is from RNAcentral.
GACGAACGCUGGCGGCGUGCUUAACACAUGCAAGUCGAACGGAAAGGCCCUGCUUGCAGGGUACUCGAGUGGCGAACGGGUGAGUAACACGUGGGUGAUCUGCCCUGCACUUCGUGAUAAGCCUGGGAAACUGGGUCUAAUACCGGAUAGGAGCCAUUUUUCGUGUGAUGGUUGGAAAGUUUUUUCGGUGUAGGAUGAGCUCGCGGCCUAUCAGCUUGUUGGUGGGGUAAUGGCCUACCAAGGCGGCGACGGGUAGCCGGCCUGAGAGGGUGGACGGCCACAUUGGGACUGAGAUACGGCCCAGACUCCUACGGGAGGCAGCAGUGGGGAAUAUUGCACAAUGGGCGCAAGCCUGAUGCAGCGACGCCGCGUGGGGGAUGACGGCCUUCGGGUUGUAAACUCCUUUCGCUAGGGACGAAGCUUUUUGUGACGGUACCUAGAGAAGAAGCACCGGCUAACUACGUG